UGCGUAGGCGGGCUAAUAAGUCAGUGGUGAAAUCUUCCGGCUCAACCGGGAAACUGCCAUUGAUACUGUUAGCCUUGAGUUAGGUUGAGGUAGGCGGAAUGUGUAAUGUAGCGGUGAAAUGCUUAGAUAUUACACAGAACACCAAUUGCGUAGGCAGCUUACUGGACCUACACUGACGCUGAGGCACGAAAGCGUGGGGAGUGAACAGGAUUAGAUACCCUGGUAGUCC
RNAcentral lists this ribosomal RNA (229 nucleotides) under uncultured bacterium. RNAcentral describes it as "partial 16S ribosomal RNA". It matches the Rfam family "Bacterial small subunit ribosomal RNA", at positions 568 to 796 of the family's 1533-position model. The record is from RNAcentral.